Molecule: ribosomal RNA, 253 nt
Filed under: uncultured bacterium
Lineage: Bacteria
Description: partial 16S ribosomal RNA
Rfam family: Bacterial small subunit ribosomal RNA
Source: RNAcentral
UACGAAGGGGGCUAGCGUUGUUCGGAAUUACUGGGCGUAAAGCGCACGUAGGCGGAUUGUUAAGUCAGAGGUGAAAUCCCGGAGCUCAACUUCGGAACUGCCUUUGAUACUGGCAAUCUCGAGUACGGAAGAGGUUAGUGGAAUUCCCAGUGUAGAGGUGAAAUUCGUAGAUAUUGGGAAGAACACCAGUGGCGAAGGCGGCUAACUGGUCCGGUACUGACGCUGAGAUGCGAAAGCGUGGGGAGCAAACAGG